RNAcentral lists this ribosomal RNA (467 nucleotides) under uncultured bacterium. Its description in RNAcentral is "partial 16S ribosomal RNA". It matches the Rfam family "Bacterial small subunit ribosomal RNA", at positions 28 to 506 of the family's 1533-position model. The record is from RNAcentral.
GACGAACGCUGGCGGCGUGCUUAACACAUGCAAGUCGAACGGAAAGGCCCUGCUUUUGUGGGGUGCUCGAGUGGCGAACGGGUGAGUAACACGUGAGUAACCUGCCCUUGACUUUGGGAUAACUUCAGGAAACUGGGGCUAAUACCGGAUAGGAGCUCCUGCUGCAUGGUGGGGGUUGGAAAGUUUCGGCGGUUGGGGAUGGACUCGCGGCUUAUCAGCUUGUUGGUGGGGUAGUGGCUUACCAAGGCUUUGACGGGUAGCCGGCCUGAGAGGGUGACCGGCCACAUGGGGGCUGGGGUGCGGCCAAGACUCCUCCGGGAGGAAGGAGGGGGGAAUUUUGCACAAGGGGGGGAAGCCUGAUGCAGCAACGCCGGGGGGGGGAUGACGGCCUUCGGGUUGAAAACCGCUUUCGCCUGGGACGAAGGGGGAGUGACGGUAAUGGGUAAAGAAGCACCGGCUAAUUACGU